This 2700-nucleotide long non-coding RNA is filed under the name Medicago truncatula (barrel medic). RNAcentral describes it as "long non-coding RNA (MTRU_LNC008701)". The record is from RNAcentral. Lineage: Eukaryota; Viridiplantae; Streptophyta; Magnoliopsida; Fabales; Fabaceae.
UAUAGUAAGUUUGUGGUCCAAAACUCAUUAAUCAACAAAUUUACUCUAUUCUCUAUCCAAACCCGUAAGCCACCCUCCCUCCUCCAUCUUCAUCUUGUUUUGGAUGUAACUUCUUCGUUCCUUAUCCGAAUCGCGCAAACGAGAUAUCAAAACGAAGCUAGUGACGAAUCCUACGGUCCGAUACAUGAUUCACUGUGAUUUGAUGAGGUAUUCCUCUCCUUUUUCAUUUUUUUAAACUCGGUUUUGGGUAUUUUUGGAUAUUGGAUGUUGAGUUUUGAUUUUCUUGCGUGAUGUUAUGCAUUAAUGUUGUUCGGUAAGUCCGAAUGAAUAUACUCCCUCCGUCCCAUAAUAACUGAGCCAUUUGCAAAAAAAUAUUGUCCUAGAAAAAUUGACCCAUUUCAAUUUUCAAUACAAUAUUAAUUACUUUUUUCCAAUUAUAACACUAAUUAAUACUACUUUCACCAUUCCUAAUUCAAUAUAUUCUACUAUGCAUUUAUGAUAAAAAAGAAUGCACCAAUAGUUGAUAAGGGCACUCAAACCCAUUUUUCUCUCUCUUUUGCGGAGGGAGUAUAUCCACAAAAAUAUUUAUGAUUCGACUAUUUUUAAAUUUUAGCAUUAUUGGAAAAGUGUCUAAAUGUGAAUUUUAUUUGAUAUUUAUGAUAUAGACGAGUAAAUGAGUUGAUUCAACCUAUUUGUUUUCAAAAAAUGUUGUCCCGACGAAAGCGCUGAACCGUGUAGGGGCAUUUUUGUAAUUUUUGAAUUGUUGAAAUAUGAAAAUGAGUUGAGAAAUGGAUUUGCGUCGAUGAGACAGUCGAAAUGGAUAUAUGGUUUGCGACGUUUUGAGUAGGGAUGAAUUUAUUGUGAUUUUUUGAAAGUAGUUUAAAUUUGAGCUACCGCUGGAAGUGACUGUUGACACUUUCAAAAUUCAAAUUUUAAAUGUUUGAAUUGGUGAGUUGUGAAAAUAUUUUUUUCUGUGAAUUUAUGUUAGGUUGGCCGAGUCAAAGGCUCUAGUAUACGAUGUAAACACAAAGGAGACUGUUGAAAAUUCGUCAGAAUCAUUUUCUUAGUUUUGGGGUGAUUUUGAAAAGAUGUUUCAAAACGGAAAACAAGUUGGGAUUCAUUUGGAAAUGAAAAAUAUUUUAUGAACAAUUUUGAUCUCUUUAAGGUCUUUUGAUAGACAUAAAGUAUUUGAGAAAAAUGUUUUCAUGGGUGAUUUUAAGGAGAAAAGUUAUUUUAUUUAGUGUCUUCGAAGUAUUUGAGAAUAUUUUUGAAACAAAAUAUUUUUAGCGGUUGAAAUUUGGAAAGAAAAGUCUUUUCAUAAAGAGUUUCCUUCAAUAUACUUUUGUUAACUUUAGGUCAUGAGAUGACUUAAAUAAUUUCAAGGAUUUUGAGAUGAAUGUCGUAUUGAAAAAUAUAUUAUUUAAGUUUUUGAAAAUAUUGAAUUGAUCGUAUUUUCAAGCGUUGUUGAUAUUUCACCAAGAACGGGUAGAGAGUUUUAGAGCCGAUUUUUACCUAAGUUAUUGUAUCUAUUAGGAUACAUAGCUCGAGGGUUUAGAGAUGUUCUUGUUGUAGAUGCUUACGAGUUGGAGAGCUGUAUGUUUUAAGGAAUGUGUUGCUCAGGUAAGGGCAUUUUCUAGAAACUCCAUAGUUACUUAAAUGCUUGGAUGAUUUAUGUGCUAAUUUGUCUAUUGUGAAUAUGAUAUUUUGAGUGAAUGUGUCUGCUCAGUGUGGGAUCUGUAUGCCAUCAAUGUGAUUAUGAUAAGUUGAUGUGCAUCGCUUUCAUAUGAUUUAUGAGUAAAUAUAUGAAAUGCAUGUUGUUUUGUGAAAUGUUGUUUCGUAUGAAUUGAAAUAAAAUAUGUAAACUGCCAGUUGAGGCAUGUUAAAAAUAUGGAACUUCCAGUUGAGGCAUGUUAUUAUCAAUGCAUAUAUUAAAUGAUAUGUAAGAGUUACAUUUGCACAUAUUGAGUGGACAAUAUAUGCUCAUAGCACGUGUACGCACAAAUUUUAUAGUACGCGUUAGUCAGUUGCGACGCGCGGGGUGUGGACUGCCGUGAAGGAACCCACUUUAAAUCUAUGAGAUUUAUUGAGUCUUGGUUGCUCGACCAUUGUGGGGGGUUUAUCUCAGAUGUGUCUGAAUGGGGACCACAUGAUUUGCUCGACCAUUGUGGGGGGUUUUCCUCAGAUGUAUCCAUAUGAUAAUCAUGAAUUUCUUAGUAGGUUUUGCCUAUGACCAUCUGCAGAGUGGAUUAUUUCGGAAUCAUUUGCUAGGCUAAUUGUACAUCAUUAUAUUUUGUGUGAGGAAUGUUUAUGUUGAUACAAUUUACCAUUCUAGUUUGCUAUGCCUGCUGUAUUUUUGUAAUUAUGUUGUAGCAGUUUGACAGUCAGGCUUGAUGUCAUUGGUGGGUUCUUGUACCCUGUCAUCUAGUUCAGAGUUAAAUAGGAUCAGCUUAGUUGUAUUCAUGUAGAGUCCUUUGUGUAAUUUUUUUUAUACAUUUGUUGGGCAUCGUUGUAAAUGAUAUUACCUUGAGAAAUGAAUAAACGACCCCGGGGGUAAAUGAUAUUACCUUGAGAAAUGAUAUUACCUUUAAUGGGCAUCGUUGUAAAUGAUAUUACCUUGAGAAAUGAUAUUACCUUGUAGAGUCAUUUGUUGUGUAAUUUUUUUAUACAUUUUUUUACUCAGUGUAUAGUUUGAAAUUGAAA